CUAAACUAACUACCUAAGAUUUUAAAACGCAACCAACCCAAGUGUUUUAACCCACCAUUCGGGGGGGGUUAGUUUAGUUUCUUACACAAGGUUGGUUGCGUUUCUGCUCUAGUAUUAUUAUAAUGACAGCAGUUGGUCUGUAGUUAGCUGUGGUAAUUUGUGGCGGGCUUCAAAUUGUCGUGUGAAGUGCUGCCCAUUCUGAUGGUGAACAUGGGCUUGGAAGCUAAAAACUUACCCAUCACAUUAUGAUAUUCUACUGCCAUCAUCAGCAAGAAAGUGAAUUUCUCAUAUGAAAAAUGGCAGAACAGUUAAAUGGUCCAUCAUGUGAUAACACAUCCAACAAGCCUACUGUCCUGAGCUGUCACCAUGUGACUUCUGGCUGUUCCAAUACUACCUGCAGGUAAUUCCAUUAGAAGACUUCCAGAAAUGUUUCUAACAAUGGCAGGAGGAUUGGAAAAUGAUGUGUAUCCUAGGGGAGUACUCUGAAGAGGAUUAAUGACAAAACAGAUGAUGGCACAUGGAUUCAACACUGGAACCUGGAAACCAAACAUGAGACCAUAAUGGCAGAUGCACAUAUAAAUUUUAUGUCCAGAUAUCUGGCAAGGUAUCUGCAUGAAGCCAUCAAAUGAAAUCAUUUUGGAAACCUGAUAAGCAAAGUUCUUCUACAGGUUAUGGAAAGUUCAGGCCACUGUACAAUAUUGCAACUGUUGGUAAGUCUACUGACAUCACUAUAAUACAGACAUAGCACCACACGACCAUUUUCUAUUCAGACUCCUGAAGAAAUCUCAAUAAAACAGAGGCUUUCCAUCAAUGAUGAACUGUAAAAUUCCAUCUACAUGAAAGUAAAUGUUGACAAAUCUAACUACAUGUCAUUUUUACCAAGAGCUUGUUAUUACGCUAUGCAUUUGACGCAUUACAC
Molecule: long non-coding RNA, 919 nt
Organism: Zootermopsis nevadensis
Lineage: Eukaryota; Metazoa; Arthropoda; Insecta; Blattodea; Termopsidae
Source: RefSeq, a predicted model, not a curated record